Molecule: ribosomal RNA, 310 nt
Filed under: Xenoctenus sp. MR982
Lineage: Eukaryota; Metazoa; Arthropoda; Arachnida; Araneae; Miturgidae
Description: partial 12S ribosomal RNA
Source: RNAcentral
AGGUAGUAUUAUCAAAAUAAACCUAUUUAUAACGGCGGCUUUUAUCUAAUUAGAGGAACUUGUCCCUUAAUCGAUAUUCCACGAUAAUUUUCACUUAAAUUAAUAAUUUAUAUACCGUCAUCUUAAGAAUUUAUUAUAAUAUUUUCUCUUAAUAAUAAAUAAAAAGUUAGAUCAAGGUGUAAUCUACAUUUAAGCUAAAGAUGAGUUACAUUAAAUAUUAUUUAAAGAAUAAUUUUUAAAAAAAUUAAGAAAGAGGAUUUAUUAGUAAUAUAAUAAUAAUAUUCUUCUAUGAAAGAGAUAGUAAAAGUGC